RNAcentral lists this ribosomal RNA (462 nucleotides) under uncultured bacterium. RNAcentral's name for it is "bacterial SSU rRNA". It matches the Rfam family "Bacterial small subunit ribosomal RNA", at positions 335 to 794 of the family's 1533-position model. The record is from RNAcentral.
ACUCCUACGGGAGGCAGCAGUGAGGAAUAUUGGUCAAUGGGCGCAAGCCUGAACCAGCCAUCCCGCGUGAAGGAAGAAUGCGCUACGCGUUGUAAACUUCUUUUCCAGGGGGAGAAUAAUCCUGUCGUGACAGGACUUGACGGUACUCUGGGAAUAAGCAUCGGCUAACUCCGUGCCAGCAGCCGCGGUAAUACGGAGGAUGCGAGCGUUAUCCGGAUUUAUUGGGUUUAAAGGGUGCGUAGGCGGAUUGAUAAGUCAGUGGUGAAAUUCUACAGCUUAACUGUAGACUUGCCGUUGAUACUGUUAGUCUUGAGUGUGGUCAAGGCAGGCGGAAUGUGUAAUGUAGCGGUGAAAUGCUUAGAUAUUACACAGAACACCGAUUGCGAAGGCAGCUUGCUGGGUCAUUACUGACGCUGAUGCACGAAAGCGUGGGGAUCAAACAGGAUUAGAUACCCUGGUAGU